GGUUCCUGCUCCGGAGCCCGUUGACGAGGAGAAGGAUAAGGUUCCUGCUCCGGAGCCUGUCGACGAGGAGAAGGAUGAGGUUACCGCUCCGGAGCCAGUCGACGAGGAGAAGGAUGCGGCAUAG
RNAcentral lists this non-coding RNA (124 nucleotides) under uncultured Thalassiosira. Lineage: Eukaryota; Bacillariophyta; Thalassiosirophyceae; Thalassiosirales; Thalassiosiraceae. The record is from RNAcentral.